This 250-nucleotide ribosomal RNA is filed under the name uncultured bacterium. Its description in RNAcentral is "partial 16S ribosomal RNA". It matches the Rfam family "Bacterial small subunit ribosomal RNA", at positions 524 to 773 of the family's 1533-position model. The record is from RNAcentral.
CACGUAGGGGGCGAGCGUUGUCCGGAAUUACUGGGCGUAAAGAGCGCGUAGGUGGUUAAGUAAGUCAGGUGUGAAAGGCCAGGGCUCAACUCUGGGACUGCACUUGAAACUGAUUAACUUGAGGGUAGGAGAGGUAAGUGGAAUUCCUGGUGUAGCGGUGAAAUGCGUAGAUAUCAGGAGGAACACCAGUGGCGAAAGCGACUUACUGGCCUAGCUCUGACACUGAGGCGCGAAAGCGUGGGGAGCGAAC